RNAcentral lists this ribosomal RNA (452 nucleotides) under uncultured bacterium. RNAcentral describes it as "bacterial SSU rRNA". It matches the Rfam family "Bacterial small subunit ribosomal RNA", at positions 29 to 507 of the family's 1533-position model. The record is from RNAcentral.
AACGAACGCUGGCGGCAGGCUUAACACAUGCAAGUCGAACGCCCCGCAAGGGGAGUGGCAGACGGGUGAGUAACGCGUGGGAACGUACCUUUCAGUUCGGAAUAACUCAGGGAAACUUGUGCUAAUACCGGAUACGCCCGCAAGGGGAAAGAUUUAUCGCUGAAAGAUCGGCCCGCGUUGGAUUAGCUAGUUGGUGGGGUAAAGGCCUACCAAGGCGACGAUCCAUAGCUGGUCUGAGAGGAUGAUCAGCCACACUGGGACUGAGACACGGCCCAGACUCCUACGGGAGGCAGCAGUAAGGAAUAUUGGUCAAUGCCCGGAAGGGUGAACCAGCCAUCCCGCGUGAAGGAUGAAGGGGCUCUGCCUUGUAAACUUCUUUUGUAUGGGGACGAAAAAAGGGGAUUUAUCCUCGACUGACGGUACCAUAAGAAUAAGCACCGGCUAACUCCGUG